RNAcentral lists this ribosomal RNA (345 nucleotides) under Folkia inermis. RNAcentral describes it as "partial large subunit ribosomal RNA". The record is from RNAcentral. Lineage: Eukaryota; Metazoa; Arthropoda; Arachnida; Araneae; Dysderidae.
CCUUUUAAUUCAAGGAUCGAACAAACGGAAUUACGAAUUUUAGACUGUCUCAUACAUCCCUCACAAAUUUAAUUUAAAAGUAAAAAAUCUUUUUCAAAAAAGAAAGACGACAAGACCCUUCGAACUCACCUUAAGGUUAGUUGGGGUAACUAUAAUAAAAAAAUCUUACAAAUUAAUUAAAUAAUUACUUAAUUAAAUACUUAGUUACCGUAGGGAUAACAGCACAAUAAUACUUUAAAGCUCUUAUUAAAAAUACAGAUUGUGACCUCGAUGUUGAAUUUUAAGUAAUCUAUUUAAAUUGCAAUAAAUAAAAAAGAAAGUCUGUUCGACUUAUAAAUACUUACA